AGUAAUCGUAGGUCAGCAUACUACGGUGAAUACGUUCCCGGGCCUUGUACACACCGCCCGUCAAACCAUGAGAGUUGGCAACACCCGAAGUCGGUAGUCUAACCGCAAGGAGGACGCCGCCGAAGGUGGGGUUGAUGAUUAGGGUUAAGUCGUAACAAGGUAAC
Molecule: ribosomal RNA, 164 nt
Filed under: uncultured bacterium
Lineage: Bacteria
Description: partial 16S ribosomal RNA
Rfam family: Bacterial small subunit ribosomal RNA
Source: RNAcentral